Molecule: ribosomal RNA, 338 nt
Filed under: Micromyini gen. sp. JSC56
Lineage: Eukaryota; Metazoa; Arthropoda; Insecta; Diptera; Cecidomyiidae
Description: partial 16S ribosomal RNA
Source: RNAcentral
AUUUUUAAUUGAAAUCUAGAAUGAAAGGUUAAAUGAAAUAUAUUCUGUUUUUUUAAAAAUUUUCGAAUUUUUUUUUUUAGUUAAAAAACUAAAAUAAUAUUAAGGGACGAGAAGACCCUAUAGAUUUUUAUAAUUAUUAUAAAUAAUAAAAAAAAUAAAAGUUUAUUUUUAAAUAUAAAAUUAUUUUAUUGGGGAAAUAUUAAAAUAUAAAAAACUUUAAUUUUAUUUUUAUUAUUAUAAUAAAAUAAAAGAUCCAUUUUUUUUGAUUAUAAAUUUAAAUUACCUUAGGGAUAACAGCAUAAUUUUUUUAUAAAGAUCAUAUUAAUAAAAAAGAUUAU